UCGGCCAUGGCUGCCCGCGUCCCUCGCUGGGUUGCAGUCCCUGGACCCGGCCUGUCGGGCCCGGGGCGGCGCGGCAGCGACGGCGGAAGCGGAGCGGGACCCGCCUAACCUGAGAGCUACUGCCGGGCGGCAGCGAACUGCGUCCCGAGCCACGUGCCCCGCUGGCCCUUUAAAAAAGAGCUGCGCUCGGCGGCCGAGCUUGAGGACGCGCACAGCGCCCCCUGCAGCCCGUAGGACCGCACGCCCGCGGCCGCCGCCCCGCGCCCUCCCGAGGCCUUCAGCGCCCGCGGCGUCCGGGACCCAGGCGCGGCCACCCACCCUCACCCGGGGCGCGGGAGUUGACGCCAGGGCGGGCGUGCCACGGCCUCCAGCGGGGCUACGUCAGGCGUAAGCCACUCCCGGGCCAGCGCGGCGCCCAACCUCUCUCUGCGUCCCACGCGGGAGCCGGGAGGGCUGCGGGAAGGAACCGCGCUGGAAAGUGCGAAACCUCGCGAGGGAAAGCUGCGUGGGGAACGGGGUCGGCCCUCGCCGGGGCUCCAGUCCGGACCGAGACUCUGUUGCAGCGCCUCCCACGCACCACAGAACUGAGUUGGGGAAAGUAAAAAGGAUACGUGUGUACCCAGGGAGAAGCCAGGGAAACUUACAUGAACGUUUUUAAAGUCUCUUUUAAAUUUGACAGAACAAACGUGAAGAUGCACCUGGCAGAACAGGCUUUCAAUGGAGGAUGGCAGAAGCAGACAAGAAGAGGCGAAUCUUUCGUAUACCAUAAGAGAGUGCCUCUGCAUGCACAGAAUCACCUGGGGAGCUUGCUGAGAUGCAGAUUCUGACUCGGGGGUCUAGGUGGAGCCUGAGUCUGCACCAUUUCACACUCCUAGGGGAUGCCGCUGCUGCCAGCAGAGAGCCCACACUUCAGGACACAGGAUCCAGCUUUGACACUGAGUUCCUAACUGCAGAAGCACCACCACCCCACAGCCAAGUGUGUGGCUCGGAAGCAAGAUGCUCUGGGUUUCCAUCACCUCUGCCACCUUACUUCACUUCUCAGGCCUCCUCCCACAUCUCAUACGGAAAACUAGGUAAAAUCAUGCUCACCACCCAAAACUAUAAGGAUUUGUUUUCAUGGAAAUAAUUUGAAUAGUGCCUAGCACACAAGUAUUCAACAAGUGUCAGCAGGAGUCCAAUUGCUUGAUACAAUUAUUUCCCAGCCUCAAGGAAAACUUAACUUAAUUGGAGAAGUAGGACCAUAUUUUGUGCUUCGCUUUUCCCCACAACACAAGGCCCAAGGCUGCUCACAUUAAAACGCUCAACAAUUGGGAAGUAAGAGUAACUAAGGACAGGACAGAGGGGGUGUCUAUAAGGCAAAGGCUUGAGGGUAAGAAAAAACUGCAGAAGAAACAGGAAAGAAACUGCAAAGGUUUUCCUGACGAAGCUACCUACCCACCUCACACAGCGCCAGCCCUACAAGGAUUCCCUCCAUGUUGUUUCUGUAACAAGACAAUCCCAUACCUUAUAGCAGGAGGCCUCAACCCCUGGACUGUGGAUCAGUACUGGUCCAUGGCCUGUUAGGAAUCAGGCCACACAGCAGGUUAGCUCUGCCUCCUGUCAGAUCAGCGGCGGCAUUAGAUUCUCAUAGAAUGAACCCUAUUGUGAACUGCGCUCGCGAGGGAUCUAGGUUGUGCGCUCCUUAUGAGAAUCUAACGCCUGAUGAUCUGAGGUGGAACAGUUUCAUUCCAAAACCAUCCCGUCCCCCACCACUGUCUGUGGAAAACCUGUCUUCCACGAAACCAGUCCUGGUGCCAAAAAGGUUGGGGACCCCUGCCUUACAGCAAGCCAAGUUUCCUUCUACUUAUUUGCUCGCUCUCCCCGUGGAAAACUGUAAUGUCUUUUAACGGGUCUCCUUUGGUCCCAAGUGUUCUUACAAAAUGUUUUGUGUACAUGCAUUUUUAAUUUAUAUAAAUGGUGUUACAUUAUA
Molecule: long non-coding RNA, 1969 nt
Organism: Homo sapiens (human)
Lineage: Eukaryota; Metazoa; Chordata; Mammalia; Primates; Hominidae
Exons: 2
Source: RefSeq, a predicted model, not a curated record